Molecule: long non-coding RNA, 537 nt
Organism: Cyprinodon tularosa
Lineage: Eukaryota; Metazoa; Chordata; Actinopteri; Cyprinodontiformes; Cyprinodontidae
Exons: 2
Source: RefSeq, a predicted model, not a curated record
AACAAGAAAUCUUCAGGAUGAAAAAGCUCUCUUCCCUGUUCCAGAAAAUGAUACGAGAACACCAUGGUCAAGGAAGUGACAGAUCAGAUCUUCUGAAGAAAAGACUGAGGCAAGACUUUUCCCAACUAAAUUUCUACAAGCCUCCGAGGAAAAACCUGAGUGAAAUGGUAUUUACACAAGCUACAGGACUUCUCGACAAGGGUUCAUCAACUGAACCUGAGUCAUCAGGAUCGCAAGAGACUUUGUCGAGUGGUGGAGAGACAGUUCAGGAAAGUGGUACAUAUGCAGCACAAUGAGACUGUACCAGAACCAUUUAUAGUGCAGGUAUAAUUCUUAAACAAGCAGUUAAGAGUGCCCCUAACAUGAGUGCCGAUUGGCCUCCUACAUCUGAGGAUCUAAAUAUUUCCUCAGCUAGAAAGAUUGUGCCAAUUGAACUGUAUAAUUCACUUGCUUGGUGCAUAGGUGUAAGUGAUGAGUUGACAUUAUCUAACAUGGUUAAUGUUAAUUUUAAUAAAAGUCAUUGUUUAAAAACAGAAA